Molecule: ribosomal RNA, 253 nt
Filed under: uncultured bacterium
Lineage: Bacteria
Description: partial 16S ribosomal RNA
Rfam family: Bacterial small subunit ribosomal RNA
Source: RNAcentral
UACGAAGGGGACUAGCGUUGUUCGGAAUUACUGGGCGUAAAGCGCACGUAGGCGGAUUUGUAAGUCAGGGGUGAAAUCCCGGGGCUCAACCUCGGAACUGCCUUUGAUACUGCAAAUCUCGAGUCCGGAAGAGGUGAGUGGAAUUCCUAGUGUAGAGGUGAAAUUCGUAGAUAUUAGGAAGAACACCAGUGGCGAAGGCGGCUCACUGGUCCGGUACUGACGCUGAGGUGCGAAAGCCAGGGGAGCAAACGGG